RNAcentral lists this transfer RNA (86 nucleotides) under Pseudomonadota bacterium. RNAcentral describes it as "tRNA-Leu". It matches the Rfam family "tRNA". From Rfam's summary of the family: Transfer RNA (tRNA) molecules are approximately 80 nucleotides in length. Their secondary structure includes four short double-helical elements and three loops (D, anti-codon, and T loops). The record is from RNAcentral. RNAcentral also lists the same sequence under 5 other names. Lineage: Bacteria; Pseudomonadati; Pseudomonadota.
GCCGAAGUGGCGGAAUGGGUAGACGCGCUGGUCUCAAAAACCAGUGGGGUUUCCCCGUGCCGGUUCGAGUCCGGCCUUCGGCACCA